Molecule: ribosomal RNA, 506 nt
Filed under: uncultured bacterium
Lineage: Bacteria
Description: partial 16S ribosomal RNA
Rfam family: Bacterial small subunit ribosomal RNA
Source: RNAcentral
GGUGAACGCUGGCGGUAGGCCUAACACAUGCGAGUCGAAUGGCAGCACAGGAGAGCUUGCUCUCUGGGUGGCGAGUGGCGGACGGGUGAGGAAUACAUCGGAAUCUACUCUGUCGUGGGGGAUAACGUAGGGAAACUUACGCUAAUACCGCAUACGACCUACGGGUGAAAGCAGGGGACCUUCGGGCCUUGCGCGAUUGAAUGAGCCGAUGUCGGAUUAGCUAGUUGGCGGGGUAAAGGCCCACCAAGGCGACGAUCCGUAGCUGGUCUGAGAGGAUGAUCAGCCACACUGGAACUGAGACACGGUCCAGACUCCUACGGGAGGCAGCAGUGGGGAAUAUUGGACAAUGGGCGCAAGCCUGAUCCAGCCAUACCGCGUGGGUGAAGAAGGCCUUCGGGUUGUAAAGCCCUUUUGUUGGGAAAGAAAUCCAGCUGGCUAAUACCCGGUUGGGAUGACGGUACCCAAAGAAUAAGCACCGGCUAACUUCGUGCCAGCAGCCGCGGUAA